Molecule: long non-coding RNA, 1872 nt
Filed under: Glycine max (soybean)
Lineage: Eukaryota; Viridiplantae; Streptophyta; Magnoliopsida; Fabales; Fabaceae
Description: long non-coding RNA (GMAX_LNC001440)
Source: RNAcentral
UUCCCUUCAAAAACAUCCUUGUUUCUUUGCAAGAAUAUGUUGAUAGAAACUCCAUGCUUGGUUUGCCCUUAGGAACAAAUGAGGCCCCAACAAGAAAAAAUAUAUGAGAAAAAUGUAGCAACAAUGAUGGUCGGCACCGGCAUAGGGUUGACAAAGCAAAGCAUAUAUCAUCUUGCAGGUAAAGAAUUAGACCCAAAUAUCAACACCACGCGAGACCUCGUCAUUUCCACAACCCAAUUAUUCUUCGUUUUUGAUCUUCUAAGAUGUGACAUGCAUCGUCCAUCACAGUUUCUUUCUUGUUUCCCGUUUGCAUCUGCCCUCGAUGUGAUGUAUAUUUCUUGUUUUCUUUUGAUCAUUAGCUCAAGUUUCACCUUCUAAUAGGACCUAGCUAGGACAUGUCAAAUAAUUGAAGAGUUUUUAGAAUGAAGGAUGAAAAGUUAAAAAUAAAAAUUAACAUAAUGCGAUGCCAAGAAAAACUAAAUAAAAAGAACAGCAAUGGGCCAGACUUUGGAAACUACUUGGGGCACCUAACUUUUUUUUUCAUACACCCAGCGUUUUUCAAAAUACUGAAAAUGUCCUUAUGGGUAUUUUUGGUUAUAAAUAACAUAUUAGUUUUGUCAUUUCUGCAGUGUUUUUCUUUUCGUAAAACCACACUUAGUGAAACUUGCUUUUGUUAGCGUUCUUUUGUGAGCAUUUAUUGUUGUCGGUAGUAUACAUGCGUUGUUUACAAAUAUACGGUGAAGUUCGAUGUUUUUUUGUCGCCGGAAGAGAAGUGGUGUGUAUACAGAAUCAUACGAAUUGUUAAUCCGUAUGUUUUGAAUUUUUUUAAAAAUUAUAAUUUAUUUAGAAAUUUUUUUAUACAUUUAAUUUAUUUACAAAAUUUGAUAAUUAAAUAAAUUUGAUAUUUAACUAAAUGUUGUGUUUAGAUAUUUAUUACAGUAAUUAAUAGUUAAAGAAAUUUGGUAUUUAAUUGAAUGAUAUAUUUGAAUGUUUAUUACAGUGAUUGAAAAUUAAACAAAUAUGAUAUUUAAUUGAAUGUCGUAUUUAGAUGUUUAUUACAAUAAUUAAUAAUUAAAAAAAUUGAUAUUUAAUUGGAUGAUGUAUUUAGAUGUUUAUUACAGUGAUUGAAAAUUAAACAAAUUUGGUAUUUAAUUGAAUGAUGUAUUUAGAUGUUUAUAUAUGUAAAAAAUAUAUUAUUAGAUCAAAAUUAAUUAUAAUAAAGUCAAAAAAUGAAUUAGUAGAUUUAUGUUAAUAUUUUUUUUUACAUAUGUAAAUUUUUAUUAAAUCUAUUAUUUUUAUUUACAAUUUAUAUAUGUAAAAAAAUUAAUUAUUAAAUAAAAAUUAAUUAUCACAAAAUUUAUUAUAUAAAUUUAUAUGUGCAUUAAAUAUACAUAAAAAAAUUUAAUAUUACAUAUAAAUAUUUUAAUUAUUUAUAACAUAAUUAGUUUAUUAGUCUAAUAAACGUCGUAUCUAUGUAUGAAUCCUUGUAAAAGUUGUAUCACUAAUCGCGGAUGUUUGGACAUCUUUAGGAGUUGAGUAAUUGCCGACCACCUCCUUCUUCAAUGAGAGAGGACUCAACCCCCGCACUGUAUGGCUUAGCAUUAGUAAGUUCUUAUAGAAUGCACUGUGAGAGAGGGGUGUCCCAGUAAAAAUGAUGAGUGUCCAAAGCAACAGCCCCAGACUUUUACUUUCGUCAAUUCAACCCAAUUACUUUGACCCACAUGCUUCCUUGGGCUUGCAUUUCGAUUGCAGUAAACUACAUGUGGGGCAUGAUUAGCCCAAAUAGAAUAACAAGACUCCUUCAGUGAAAAUUACACGAAUUAUUGUAUUGGUGGAUCAACACAAGUGUACUAUGGACACAAUACCUUUCAA